GACGAACGCUGGCGGCGUGCCUAAUACAUGCAAGUCGAGCGAAGUUUUUCUGGUGCUUGCACUAGAAAAACUUAGCGGCGAACGGGUGAGUAACACGUAAAGAACCUGCCUCAUAGACUGGGACAACUAUUGGAAACGAUAGCUAAUACCGGAUAACAGUAUUUCUCGCAUGAUAGAUAUUUAAAAGUUGGUUAUGCUAACACUAUGAGAUGGCUUUGCGGUGCAUUAGCUAGUUGGUGGGGUAAAGGCCCACCAAGGCGACGAUGCAUAGCCGACCUGAGAGGGUGAUCGGCCACACUGGGACUGAGACACGUCCCAGACUCCUACGGGAGGCAGCAGUAGGGAAUCUUCCGCAAUGGGCGAAAGCCUGACGGAGCAACGCCGCGUGAGUGAAGAAGGAUUUCGGUUCGUAAAGCUCUGUUGUUAGGGAAGAAUGGAUAUGUAGUAACUAUACAUGUAAGAGACGGUACCUAACCAGAAAGCCACGGCUAACUACGUG
This 499-nucleotide ribosomal RNA is filed under the name uncultured bacterium. RNAcentral's name for it is "partial 16S ribosomal RNA". It matches the Rfam family "Bacterial small subunit ribosomal RNA", at positions 28 to 507 of the family's 1533-position model. The record is from RNAcentral.